RNAcentral lists this ribosomal RNA (497 nucleotides) under uncultured bacterium. RNAcentral describes it as "partial 16S ribosomal RNA". It matches the Rfam family "Bacterial small subunit ribosomal RNA", at positions 28 to 507 of the family's 1533-position model. The record is from RNAcentral.
GAUGAACGCUGGCGGCGUGCCUAAUACAUGCAAGUCGAGCGAACGGACGAGAAGCUUGCUUCUCUGAUGUUAGCGGCGGACGGGUGAGUAACACGUGGAUAACCUACCUAUAAGACUGGGAUAACUUCGGGAAACCGUAGCUAAUACCGGAUAAUAUUUUGAACCGCAUGGUUCAAAAGUGAAAGACGGUCUUGCUGUCACUUAUAGAUGGAUCCGCGCUGCAUUAGCUAGUUGGUAAGGUAACGGCUUACCAAGGCAACGAUGCAUAGCCGACCUGAGAGGCUGAUCGGCCACACUGGAACUGGGACACGGUCCAGACUCCUACGGGAGGCAGCAGUAGGGAAUCUUCCGCAAUGGGCGAAAGCCUGACGGAGCAACUCCGCGUGAGUGAUGAAGGUCUUCGGAUCGUAAAACUCUGUUAUUAGGGAAGAACAUAUGUGUAAGUAACUGUGCACAUCUUGACGGUACCUAAUCAGAAAGCCACGGCUAACUACGUG